This 690-nucleotide ribosomal RNA is filed under the name uncultured Acidovorax sp. Its description in RNAcentral is "bacterial SSU rRNA". It matches the Rfam family "Bacterial small subunit ribosomal RNA", at positions 78 to 765 of the family's 1533-position model. Lineage: Bacteria; Pseudomonadati; Pseudomonadota; Betaproteobacteria; Burkholderiales; Comamonadaceae. The record is from RNAcentral.
CUUCGGAUGCUGACGAGUGGCGAACGGGUGAGUAAUACAUCGGAACGUGCCCGAUCGUGGGGGAUAACGAAGCGAAAGCUUUGCUAAUACCGCAUACGAUCUACGGAUGAAAGCAGGGGACCGCAAGGCCUUGCGCGAACGGAGCGGCCGAUGGCAGAUUAGGUAGUUGGUGGGAUAAAAGCUUACCAAGCCGACGAUCUGUAGCUGGUCUGAGAGGACGACCAGCCACACUGGGACUGAGACACGGCCCAGACUCCUACGGGAGGCAGCAGUGGGGAAUUUUGGACAAUGGGCGAAAGCCUGAUCCAGCCAUGCCGCGUGCAGGAUGAAGGCCUUCGGGUUGUAAACUGCUUUUGUACGGAACGAAAAGACUCUGGUUAAUACCUGGGGUCCAUGACGGUACCGUAAGAAUAAGCACCGGCUAACUACGUGCCAGCAGCCGCGGUAAUACGUAGGGUGCAAGCGUUAAUCGGAAUUACUGGGCGUAAAGCGUGCGCAGGCGGUUAUAUAAGACAGAUGUGAAAUCCCCGGGCUCAACCUGGGAACUGCAUUUGUGACUGUAUAGCUAGAGUACGGCAGAGGGGGAUGGAAUUCCGCGUGUAGCAGUGAAAUGCGUAGAUAUGCGGAGGAACACCGAUGGCGAAGGCAAUCCCCUGGGCCUGUACUGACGCUCAUGCACGAAAGCGUGGG